GGGCGAUGACGAUGUUAUCAGUGAAAGGUCUCGUUCGUCGUAAGGGCUGAUCCGCCUUGCCGACCAACCUGAUAUAUCACCACCCAUAUUCCGAGUCC
This 98-nucleotide small nucleolar RNA is filed under the name Nelumbo nucifera (sacred lotus). Its description in RNAcentral is "Small nucleolar RNA Z43". It matches the Rfam family "Small nucleolar RNA Z43". Rfam says of the family: Z43 is a member of the C/D class of snoRNA which contain the C (UGAUGA) and D (CUGA) box motifs. Most of the members of the box C/D family function in directing site-specific 2'-O-methylation of substrate RNAs. Lineage: Eukaryota; Viridiplantae; Streptophyta; Magnoliopsida; Proteales; Nelumbonaceae. The record is from Rfam by way of RNAcentral.